GGCGAAGAACAUGGUCAGUCUGAGCAGUAGGGUUGAAAUCAUCAUCCUCCAGUGUUCUGACCUUCAUCUCCAUUGCAGCUGAGGGAUCUUCCCCAUGGCCAGAAACACUCAGAUGCUGUGCAGACAGAACAAUUCUGCCUCCUGCAGAGCUGGGCCAGGCAGAGUGGCAGGCUGGCCCCAGAGAUGGGAUCCACUUCUGUGUAGAAGCACUGGUCAGGAGACAAAGGAGCAUUUGGGCCCACAAAUCUCAAGCAGUUUGCCCGAAUGCUGGAAGGAGAAGGCAGCUCCGAUGCUGCUGCAGCUUCCCUGGCUGCCAGGGGAAGUAAUAGAAUCUUAGAAUCAUCUGGGAAAAGAUCACCUGUAAGAUCAUCGAGUCAGUUAUGAAUGUAAUUCCACAAUCCACUGAGGAGCCGGUAGUUUUCUGGCUGAGGUGGGAAGUUGCUGACAUCUUGUGAUACAUGACAAGAUUGAUUGUAUUUGCUUACCCUUUAACCUAAUAAAGAAAAAUAAUGUUCCUUAGUCUCACUAAUUCUCUAUAAACUUGGACAUUGCUUUAAAUCAGCUGGAAGUGCAGGCGCUGAACCAUAUCAUUGCUGGGGCAGGAAUCUUGAUCCUCAGGCCCUUCCCAGUUCCCAGGUGAGGGGGACCAGCAUGGCAGUAUUGUCCCCAAGAGUGCCCAGCACCUCUGGGUCUGAGAGAACAGUGGUGGUCGUGGCAUGGAGGUGGCCUCUGCACCCUGUGCAUCUUGCUGGCUGGGAAAGCAUUAACCAAUUUACUGCUAAUUGUGUUAUCAC
Sturnus vulgaris (Common starling) is the source of this 794-nucleotide non-coding RNA. The record is from RefSeq and is a predicted model, not a curated record. Lineage: Eukaryota; Metazoa; Chordata; Aves; Passeriformes; Sturnidae.